RNAcentral lists this ribosomal RNA (446 nucleotides) under uncultured bacterium. RNAcentral describes it as "partial 16S ribosomal RNA". It matches the Rfam family "Bacterial small subunit ribosomal RNA", at positions 338 to 795 of the family's 1533-position model. The record is from RNAcentral.
CCUACGGGUGGCAGCAGUAGGGAAUUUUCGGCAAUGGGGGGAACCCUGACCGAGCAACGCCGCGUGAACGAAGAAGUUAUUCGUAAUGUAAAGUUCUUUUAACAGGGAAGAAAGAGAAAUUUGACGGUACCUGAAGAAUAAGCUCCGGCUAACUACGUGCCAGCAGGCGCGGUAAUACGUAGGGAGCGAGCGUUAUCCGGAAUUAUUGGGCGUAAAGGGUGCGUAGAUGGCAUAGUAAGUCUUUUGUAAAAAAGGUGGGCUCAACCCGGUAGGGCAAAAGGUACUGGAAAGCUAGAGUGUGAGAAAGGCAAGUGGAACUACAGGUGUAGCGGUGAAAUGCGUAGAUAUAUGUAAGAACACCAGUGGCGAAGGCGGCAUGCUGGGUCGAUACUGACGUUGAGGCACGAAGGCGUGGGGAGCGAACAGGAUUAGAUACCCGAGUAGUC